UUAAGCGACUAAGCGUACACGGUGGAUGCCCUGGCAGUCAGAGGCGAUGAAGGACGUGCUAAUCUGCGAUAAGCGUCGGUAAGGUGAUAUGAACCGUUAUAACCGGCGAUUUCCGAAUGGGGAAACCCAGUGUGAUUCGUCACACUAUCAUUAACUGAAUCCAUAGGUUAAUGAGGCGAACCGGGGGAACUGAAACAUCUAAGUACCCCGAGGAAAAGAAAUCAACCGAGAUUCCCCCAGUAGCGGCGAGCGAACGGGGAGCAGCCCAGAGCCUGAAUCAGUGUGUGUGUUAGUGGAAGCGUCUGGAAAGGCGUGCGAUACAGGGUGACAGCCCCGUACACAAAAAUGCACAUGCUGUGAGCUCGAUGAGUAGGGCGGGACACGUGGUAUCCUGUCUGAAUAUGGGGGGACCAUCCUCCAAGGCUAAAUACUCCUGACUGACCGAUAGUGAACCAGUACCGUGAGGGAAAGGCGAAAAGAACCCCGGCGAGGGGAGUGAAAAAGAACCUGAAACCGUGUACGUACAAGCAGUGGGAGCACGCUUAGGCGUGUGACUGCGUACCUUUUGUAUAAUGGGUCAGCGACUUAUAUUCUGUAGCAAGGUUAACCGAAUAGGGGAGCCGAAGGGAAACCGAGUCUUAACUGGGCGUUAAGUUGCAGGGUAUAGACCCGAAACCCGGUGAUCUAGCCAUGGGCAGGUUGAAGGUUGGGUAACACUAACUGGAGGACCGAACCGACUAAUGUUGAAAAAUUAGCGGAUGACUUGUGGCUGGGGGUGAAAGGCCAAUCAAACCGGGAGAUAGCUGGUUCUCCCCGAAAGCUAUUUAGGUAGCGCCUCGUGAAUUCAUCUCCGGGGGUAGAGCACUGUUUCGGCAAGGGGGUCAUCCCGACUUACCAACCCGAUGCAAACUGCGAAUACCGGAGAAUGUUAUCACGGGAGACACACGGCGGGUGCUAACGUCCGUCGUGAAGAGGGAAACAACCCAGACCGCCAGCUAAGGUCCCAAAGUCAUGGUUAAGUGGGAAACGAUGUGGGAAGGCCCAGACAGCCAGGAUGUUGGCUUAGAAGCAGCCAUCAUUUAAAGAAAGCGUAAUAGCUCACUGGUCGAGUCGGCCUGCGCGGAAGAUGUAACGGGGCUAAACCAUGCACCGAAGCUGCGGCAGCGACGCUUAUGCGUUGUUGGGUAGGGGAGCGUUCUGUAAGCCUGUGAAGGUGUGCUGUGAGGCAUGCUGGAGGUAUCAGAAGUGCGAAUGCUGACAUAAGUAACGAUAAAGCGGGUGAAAAGCCCGCUCGCCGGAAGACCAAGGGUUCCUGUCCAACGUUAAUCGGGGCAGGGUGAGUCGACCCCUAAGGCGAGGCCGAAAGGCGUAGUCGAUGGGAAACAGGUUAAUAUUCCUGUACUUGGUGUUACUGCGAAGGGGGGACGGAGAAGGCUAUGUUGGCCGGGCGACGGUUGUCCCGGUUUAAGCGUGUAGGCUGGUUUUCCAGGCAAAUCCGGAAAAUCAAGGCUGAGGCGUGAUGACGAGGCACUACGGUGCUGAAGCAACAAAUGCCCUGCUUCCAGGAAAAGCCUCUAAGCAUCAGGUAACAUCAAAUCGUACCCCAAACCGACACAGGUGGUCAGGUAGAGAAUACCAAGGCGCUUGAGAGAACUCGGGUGAAGGAACUAGGCAAAAUGGUGCCGUAACUUCGGGAGAAGGCACGCUGAUAUGUAGGUGAAGUCCCUUGCGGAUGGAGCUGAAAUCAGUCGAAGAUACCAGCUGGCUGCAACUGUUUAUUAAAAACACAGCACUGUGCAAACACGAAAGUGGACGUAUACGGUGUGACGCCUGCCCGGUGCCGGAAGGUUAAUUGAUGGGGUCAGCGCAAGCGAAGCUCUUGAUCGAAGCCCCGGUAAACGGCGGCCGUAACUAUAACGGUCCUAAGGUAGCGAAAUUCCUUGUCGGGUAAGUUCCGACCUGCACGAAUGGCGUAAUGAUGGCCAGGCUGUCUCCACCCGAGACUCAGUGAAAUUGAACUCGCUGUGAAGAUGCAGUGUACCCGCGGCAAGACGGAAAGACCCCGUGAACCUUUACUAUAGCUUGACACUGAACAUUGAGCCUUGAUGUGUAGGAUAGGUGGGAGGCUUAGAAGUGUGGACGCCAGUCUGCAUGGAGCCGACCUUGAAAUACCACCCUUUAAUGUUUGAUGUUCUAACGUGGACCCGUAAUCCGGGUUGCGGACAGUGUCUGGUGGGUAGUUUGACUGGGGCGGUCUCCUCCUAAAGAGUAACGGAGGAGCACGAAGGUUGGCUAAUCCUGGUCGGACAUCAGGAGGUUAGUGCAAUGGCAUAAGCCAGCUUGACUGCGAGCGUGACGGCGCGAGCAGGUGCGAAAGCAGGUCAUAGUGAUCCGGUGGUUCUGAAUGGAAGGGCCAUCGCUCAACGGAUAAAAGGUACUCCGGGGAUAACAGGCUGAUACCGCCCAAGAGUUCAUAUCGACGGCGGUGUUUGGCACCUCGAUGUCGGCUCAUCACAUCCUGGGGCUGAAGUAGGUCCCAAGGGUAUGGCUGUUCGCCAUUUAAAGUGGUACGCGAGCUGGGUUUAGAACGUCGUGAGACAGUUCGGUCCCUAUCUGCCGUGGGCGCUGGAGAACUGAGGGGGGCUGCUCCUAGUACGAGAGGACCGGAGUGGACGCAUCACUGGUGUUCGGGUUGUCAUGCCAAUGGCACUGCCCGGUAGCUAAAUGCGGAAGAGAUAAGUGCUGAAAGCAUCUAAGCACGAAACUUGCCCCGAGAUGAGUUCUCCCUGACCCUUUAAGGGUCCUGAAGGAACGUUGAAGACGACGACGUUGAUAGGCCGGGUGUGUAAGCGCAGCGAUGCGUUGAGCUAACCGGUACUAAUGAACCGUGAGGCUUAACCUU
RNAcentral lists this ribosomal RNA (2902 nucleotides) under Escherichia coli. RNAcentral describes it as "bacterial LSU rRNA". It matches the Rfam family "Bacterial large subunit ribosomal RNA". The record is from RNAcentral. Lineage: Bacteria; Pseudomonadati; Pseudomonadota; Gammaproteobacteria; Enterobacterales; Enterobacteriaceae.